CCCUAUUCAGAAGCUUUAUCAAUAGUUUGACGUUCAUAAAUUGUUUAUAAGUCUUAUCUACAUGUAGCUCCUCUUUCAACUGUCCUAUGACCGAAAACAAAAAAAAAAAAAAUUUCUGCAUGAAUAGAUCCCAAACUUUUUCGCCUCACUCCGCUCGGCUGUAAAUGCUUGCACAUCGUUUCUUUCUAGCUACGCCCCUGACUUGUGUGCGUCAAAGCCCUCCCCUUACCUCCGACAGUAGUGUAAUAGCCCAGAUCUGAAUUAAAAUAAGUUUAAUGUUUAAUUCAUCAGAUUGAUACAAAGCACAAAAUCAGGUAACAAAAACACCGAAUAAAAGUUGACGGGUAUAUACAUCCCCACAACAAAAAAGACACUCGAGUACAGAUUUGAGAGUACUCACAGUUACUGACAUCUAGUCCAAAGC
RNAcentral lists this long non-coding RNA (424 nucleotides) under Mytilus galloprovincialis (Mediterranean mussel). The record is from RNAcentral. Lineage: Eukaryota; Metazoa; Mollusca; Bivalvia; Mytilida; Mytilidae.